Molecule: ribosomal RNA, 398 nt
Filed under: uncultured bacterium
Lineage: Bacteria
Description: bacterial SSU rRNA
Rfam family: Bacterial small subunit ribosomal RNA
Source: RNAcentral
AUUGAACGCUGGCGGCAUGCCUUACACAUGCAAGUCGAACGGCAGCACGGGGCAACCUGGUGGCGAGUGGCGAACGGGUGAGUAAUGCAUCGGAACGUGCCAUUGAGUGGGGGAUAACGUAGCGAAAGUUGCGCUAAUACCGCAUAUUCUGUGAGCAGGAAAGCAGGGGACCGCAAGGCCUUGCGCUCUUUGAGCGGCCGAUGUCAGAUUAGCUAGUUGGUGAGGUAAAGGCUUACCAAGGCGACGAUCUGUAGCGGGUCUGAGAGGAUGAUCCGCCACACUGGAACUGAGACACGGUCCAGACUCCUACGGGAGGCAGCAGUGGGGAAUUUUGGACAAUGGGCGCAAGCCUGAUCCAGCCAUGCCGCGUGAGUGAAGAAGGCCUUCGGGUUGUAAGG